AUACUAUGAAACAUUAUACUAUGAAACAAGUUUGGCUUAGGUUGGGGACUUUCUUUGCACUUUGGAAGGGUGCCUGCCUAAGGUUGGCCCAAGUGGUCGAGCCUACAUCAUAAUUUGUGGUAGCAGGGGCCUGUGUUCGCGCAGCCCCUGC
Non-coding RNA from Capsicum annuum, 151 nucleotides. The record is from Rfam. NCBI's taxonomy places the organism in Eukaryota, Viridiplantae, Streptophyta, Magnoliopsida, Solanales, Solanaceae.